UACGUAGGGGGCGAGCGUUGUCCGGAUUUAUUGGGCGUAAAGAGCUCGUAGGCGGUUUGGCAAGUCGGGUGUGAAAACUCCGGGCUCAACUCGGAGACGUCACUCGAUACUGCCAUGACUCGAGUCCGGUAGGGGAGUGCGGAAUUCCUGGUGUAGCGGUGGAAUGCGCAGAUAUCAGGAAGAACACCAACGGCGAAGGCAGCUCGCUGGGACGGAACUGACGCUGAGGCGCGAAAGCGUGGGGAGCGAACAGG
Molecule: ribosomal RNA, 254 nt
Filed under: uncultured bacterium
Lineage: Bacteria
Description: partial 16S ribosomal RNA
Rfam family: Bacterial small subunit ribosomal RNA
Source: RNAcentral